This is a non-coding RNA of Maylandia zebra (zebra mbuna), 376 nucleotides long. Lineage: Eukaryota; Metazoa; Chordata; Actinopteri; Cichliformes; Cichlidae. The record is from RefSeq and is a predicted model, not a curated record.
GCUUGGUCCGAGUUGGGCAAGUUGGUGUUUCUUAACUAUGAAAGUCUGAUACGCGUCCUUCCCCUAAACUUCUGUUAGAACGGUGGGAAACAUUGCUCCCGUGAGAACGGUAUAGUGGACUUCAUCGCCACUGACCCACAUUUAUUAGGGUGUGACACGAACUUGUGGACAGAGUACCGAGCUGCUGCUUUGCCAGGUGGAUUUCUGGCUGCGGGCAAAGGACCCAACACAUCAGUGUGUUUUAAUUUGUUUUAAACUGGUGUAAGCCGACAGACUGACUGCUGCGGCUGUCGAUGGUUUUGGUUUUUGGUUUUACUUUUUCUGUAUCAGUAGGCACCACAGAUAUUGAUCCUUUUAGUAUUUUAACCCCUUUAUU